This 278-nucleotide ribosomal RNA is filed under the name uncultured Latescibacterota bacterium. RNAcentral describes it as "uncultured Latescibacteria bacterium partial 16S ribosomal RNA". It matches the Rfam family "Bacterial small subunit ribosomal RNA", at positions 1105 to 1382 of the family's 1533-position model. Lineage: Bacteria; Pseudomonadati; Candidatus Latescibacterota. The record is from RNAcentral.
UUAUCCCUAGUUGCCAUCAGGUAAAGCUGGGAACUCUGGGGAGACUGCCGGUGAUAAACCGAAGGAAGCGGGGAUGACGUCAAGUCCUCAUGGCCCUUACAUCCCGGGCUACACACGUGCUACAAUGGCAGGUACAGAGGGCUGCGAAGCCGCGAGGUGGAGCGAAUCCCAGAAAACCUGUCUCAGUCCGGAUUGAAGUCUGCAACUCGACUUCAUGAAGGCGGAAUCGCUAGUAACCGCGAAUCAGCAGGUCGCGGUGAAUACCGUUCCCGGGCCUU